UUGUGCGCCUCUGCUUUGUGUCAGUGUCCUGAUUGAUUAACAAGCAUGCAUUUGGUUAUGAACAUUUGGUUGUGAAAUAAUAAUGGAAAUGUAUUGCAACACAUAGGUCUUUGAUAGAAACCAGAUCAAACAUGCAGGAUGUUAUCUUGUUCAAUAUCUGUGAAGAUGUGUCUAUUCCUGAUACAUUGGGUGUUUCAUGCGACGUGGGAUGAUGUCCAAGUGCGUUUCUGCCCUCUUUGACAUCCACUCCGAUACACAGCCCUUAAUGUCAGUAUUUAAAAGAUGUCACCUGUAGUCUGACAUGAGGAAACACAGUAUUCUAUGGCAGUGACCCUCAAGCCUUCAUCAACCAUGCCAGCCUGUUUAUUGACUUUCCAAGGGCCUCGGAUUGCUCAGAGACUUGAGGUACAUGGUGGUUGGGAGACCCCAGGCUCAUACAUGACACUCUAGGGUUAACCGGGGCACAUCCACAUGUAUGCCUAGUGUUGGGUGAAGCCAUUAACAUGUAUGGUAGGUUUGCAAGGGAGACAAUGUCCACACUCCCCCUUAUGUUUGAACACAAAAUACGACUCAUUGUUUGUGGGUUUUUUUUUUCUCUGCAUCUGUGUCCAUUACCUGUCCCUCCCUGUUACAGCGUCUGCUAAUAAUACCUUUUCAGUUUUCUAAGGAUCUGUUAAUCAAACAGAAAACACUGGAUUGAAGUUGCAUUUUCCCCCCAUUUAUUCUUGUGAAAUGCACACACUCUCCUCAGUUAAGCAAUGCUUAACUCUCCUCAGGAUUCAACUUCCUUUCGAGUCCAAACAUGUAAUACAGAAUAGUUAUACAAUACAAAAAAAGAUAAGAGUUGGCCAUAACAGCCUGUCAAGUUGCCAUUGGCUUUUUGGUAGCAUCUCUGAGCAGUCUCCUACUUACACGUCAAGUCAUUCACUGUAGGGCCUGAUUUCGGUCAGGUUUUGAUGGUGCCAAACACCUUCUGGUUUUUAAUCAUCUUCAUUUAGCUUAAAGGAAUAUAGGAGGCCUUUGAAAUACUGGCAUACCCAUCCCCUGAUCUGUGCCUUUCCACAACUUUCAGACAGCACCAGCAGAACCACUGUCUGUACCCUUCAGGCUAAGACCAGCUGAUUUCUAAAUCUGGAGAACCAAUAUUCACUGAAAACUUAGGGACAAGGAGAACAACUGUACAAGUUGAGAGGAUGAAUGUUCUCUGGAACUGACUCAUUUUGCCUGGAUUUCAAUAACUGCAAUAAGCUGAGGACCAGCCCCCCCUUUCUCUCCGUCAGCAUGCCACUAUCUUAUAAAAGCAGAGCUUUUUUCCUCCACUCUGCACGACAACACCUGAUCACUACUACCUUCAAGAGAUGCAGUGUACCACAACAGACAAGACGGCAAUGGAACAGUUUUCCCUGCUUUUUAUUGGCAUUCUUGUUCUCUCACUUCCUCGAACCACUCUCUGUUCCCCUAUUUCUAUAGCAGCAGCAGUGGAAGACUGUAAACCACACUGUGGGACCAAUACCAACAACACUUCUGUUGAAAACAUCUCACAUAGUGCAGACCGUACUUCUGCUGGAAAAGUGACUGGUGGAGGCAGCACUAUCACUGGCAACUUAUCAGGUGAUCGAGUCAGUAAAUCCACUGGCAGCAAAUCAGGCGGUCGGGGCAGCAAAUCCAUUGGCAACAUAUUGGGCGGUCGAGGCAGCGAAACAAUUGGACAUUUAUCAGGCGGUCGAGGCAAAAAAUCACAUGAUGGAGGCAGUACUUCCAUUGGCAACAUAUCAGGUGGUGGAGGCAAUGCUAACAUUGGUAAUGUCUCAGGUGGUGGAGGAAGUACUACCAUUGGCAGCAUAUCAGGCGGAAGAGGCUGUACUUCCAUUGGCAACAUCUCACAAGCUAGAGGCAGCAAAUCCAUUGGUGAUGUAUCAGGAAGCGGAGGCAAUGUUAACAUUGGCAACGUAUCAGGUGGUGGAACUGUUACCAUUGGUGACAUAAAGGGUGGUGAAGGCUGUAAAUCCAUUGGUAACAUAUCAAGCAGUGGAGGCAAUGUGAACAUUGGCAACGUAUCAGGUGGUGGAAGCAGUACCAUUGGUGACAUAAAGGGUGGUGGAGGCUGUAAAUCCAUCGGUGACAUAUCAGGCACUGGAGGCAAUAGUUCCCAUGACAACAUUUCAGGUGGUGGAGGCAAUCAUAACAUUGGUAACGUCUCAGGUGGGGGAGGAAGUGUUACCAUUGGUAACAUAUCAGGCGGAGGAGGCUGUACUUCCAUUGGCAACAUAUUAAACGGUGGAGGCAGCAGAUCCAUUGGCAACAUAUCAGGCAGUGGAGGCAAUUCUAACAUCGGCAAUGUAUCAGGCGGUGGAGGCAAUUCUCACAUUGGCAAUGUAUCAGGCGGUGGAGGCAAUUCUAACAUCGGCAAUGUAUCAGGCGGUGGAGGGAGCACCAUUGGCAACAUAAAAGGUGGUGGAGGCAACAAGAACAUUGGCAACGUUGGAAAAAGGACUGGCCAACAUUAGGGCCGUCUUUUAGCUCCACCGAAAACCUCUUAUCAUCCCUGCUGGGAGGAUGAUUUCCCACACUGGAUGUGGAUGGGGUGGAACUACAGUAUCUUAGACAUGAAUUAAUUACACAUUGUUCUUAGUGCUUCCAGAUACACUCUAUGUGUAUGGUAUAAAUAACCAAUGUAACCGUUCUUGCAGUAAAGGCUAGAUUCCUUAGGGUGAUGUAGACGUCAAAAUGAUACUCUGGAGGUCGUGGUAAAUCAUCACUGUGCUGAUUAGACACCCGUGAUAAAAGUCUGAUCAGCACAGCAGUGAUAAAAAUGAGCAGUUUACCACUUAUUGGGCUCCUUAAUUCAAGAAAAUCAACACAUACAACACAUCGACAUAUUCUAAUUUGACAUGUCAUAAUUCGUUGGAUGAUCAUGUCGUAGUCACCAACUCCAUUAUUAUUAAGAUCUAAAGUUAGUUAAAAGUCAGCUGGCUAAUGGAUGGGGUUUCUCUCCUGUCAGCUGUGCCCACUAGAGCCAGAUGCUCUUCCCCAGGUCAUUCAGGAUGCUCCAAUGAGGUCCAGCCCAGCUUCCAUCCAGCUCAGCAUCACUCAGAUCCUCUCUGCCCUAGGCCCGGUUUUCUAAAGCACUAAGAUGCAUGUUAGUGCCUCGUUAUUUUAUCAGUGUGUUUCCCAAAAGCAUCGUUACCUAAGUGUCACGUAACUUCGCUCCCUAAUUAAGUUAGUCCAUCUUGGACGAUCUUAACAGGCACUUUACUGUUUUUGUGAAACUGUGCCUCCCUCAACAUGAGAGGAAUGCUCGCAAACAGUUAAUAUCAAGGCAAUAGAACGAAUGAAACAUAUCAAAACAGUUUUGAUUUAGACACAUUCAUUUAGACAAAUUAGAUAAGUACGUGACUGGGUGUAAAUGUAACUGAAUGCAAUUGGUCAGCUGAGGAUAAAGAGAAACGUACGUAAAACAAGAAAUAGGCUAAUUAAGAAAAAGUGUUCAAAAUUAACCGUUCACGAGUCUGAAAGCCUGCAUGGUACUACUACUAUUAUUUGAUGGAUAGGUGCUGGUGUCUCAACCACAUCAAGAAGAACACUACCAGAAUGCAAACAUGUUUUCUCUUGCGUUUCAUUUGUAUUCCAAACAAUUAGAAUAGAUUUUUCUCACUAUGCUUUAUAUUCCCAGUUAACCAAUCAUGUGUUGAUUGGUGUGUGACUUAUAUUCUUUAUAGCUACUGGAGGAAUUGAUAAUUGGAUGUCACGUGAUCAAUUUCCGGAGAUAUGAUUUUGAUUGGCUGACGUCAACCCCCAUUGGUUGCAAAUCACAGUUUCGUCCACCAUAAAUUUCUCUACUGCUUCGAGUUUAAAAAUGUCUUGUAGUAGUUGAAUACAUCAGCAGCUAUAUAAAAUGAUUCUGAUAAGUGAGCAAGCUCUAUCGAAAUGCAAUAGGCUAUAUUUCAAAACGUAUUCAUGGCAUAAUUCCAUUUCAAGCCCCAAAGAUGGUCUAAUUCCAUUCCAAACGUAAUAUAUAGUGCACGAUGCACUAUAUAAAGAGUGACUUAAACGGUGGUUUGGGAAACAGGCGUAAGUCUGUCGUAACAAAGUCCCACUUAAAGCUAUGUGCAUCAUUAAACCAUCGUAAGUGCUAUGCUAACGGGAAACCGGGCCCUGCUCAGCAUCCACCCCAGGGCUCCCAACAGCGACGACAACAGUAAUUGACGUCCGCGUUGCACUGAGGGAUCUAGCUGCUUUUCCAUUCUUGUUUUUGGCAAAUAAAUGUUACCAAGCUGAGUAAAAAGAGUUCUGUGAAUUCUUGUUAUGACAAGUAACUCGUAAUGUGUGUGUGUGUGUUUAGGGCAGGCCCGCCUUAACCUGUCAUUAGGCCCCGGGGCUAAGAAGUUUUUGUAAGCCCCCCCAACUCACACUAUAAAUAAUAAAAUGUGUAAAAUCCACGCUUGUCAAUACAGCGCAAAAUGGUAUUAGUUUUUUUAGGGGGAUACAACGGUGACUUGUCCCUAUAUGAGAUGACCAAAUCACUUGAGCCUACCUAGUCAGUGUAGAAUAUAUGUGUGGGGUUGGACAAUAUAUUCAGGUAGAAGUGUGGCAAUAAGGAGAUAGAGUCCAGGUCUAUGGUUUAGUCUGUUUAUCUAUGUGUAUGUGGUUCUGAAACAACAAAGCACAACAGUACAGAAUUAUUAUGAACAAAUAAUAAGCAAAACACUCUACCUUGGGAAGGUGAGCAGCAUAGCCACUCCCUGGGCAGAUACUCUCCAUUACCAAGCUUGCGCUUGGAAUGUGUCUUUGAGAAGAAUCUUCUCUGGUGUUUGUUUUGGUGUUCUGAAGCAGAGAGGUCAGCUUGUCUGUUCUGGCACAAUUCCGGUCCCAUUUUCCCCCAGUAAAAACACACCUGUUCGUCAGUAUUAUUUUGGCCCCAGAGACCCGGGUCAGUGUUAUACAGGUCGACAUCAUCCGACUCGUCCCGUCCUGAUCCUGCCCGCAUGUCUCCUCCACUGUGAUCCCCUUCGCCUGGAUCUACCCGCGCCACCGAUUCCUCUUCUCCUGCUCAGCCAGUCCUCAUCCUCUUCAGCUUCUCCCAGUAAAAUUACCGGUCCUCCUCUCUGCUCGUUGUCCUCUCCACUAAUUUUCAGCACUCCCCUGUUUAAUGAGCUCACCUGCUCUUAAUUUUUAGAGAGUGACUUAAAUGGUGGUUUGGGAAACCGGCGUAAGUCUGUCAUAACAAAGUCCCACAUAAAGCUACGUGCAUCAUUAAACCAUCGUAAAUGCUACGCUAUCAGGAAACCGGGCCCUGCUCAGCAUCCACCCCAGGGCUCCCCACAGCGACGACAACCGGGUGACAGUACUUGACGUCCGCGUCGCACUGAGGGAUCUAGCUGCUUUUCCAUUCUUGUUUUUGGCAAAUAAAUGUUACCAAGCUGAAUAAAAAGAGUUCUGUGAAUUCUUGUUAUGACAAGUAACUCGUAAUGUGUGUGUGUGUUUAGGGCAGGCCCGCCUUAACCUGUCAUUAGGACCCGGGGCUAAGAAGUUUUUGAAGGCCCCCCCAACUCACAAUAUAAAUAAUAAAAUGUGUAAAAUCCACGCUUGUCAAUACAGCGUAAAAUGGUAUUAGUUUCUUUAGGGGGAUACAACAGUGACUUGUCCCUACAUGAGAUGACCAAAGACACACCUGUUCGUCAGUAUUAUUUUGCCCCCAGAGACCUGGGUCAGUGCUAUACAGGUCGAUGUCAUCCGACUCGUCCCGUCCUGAUCCUGCCCGCAUGUCUCCUCCACUGUGAUCCCCUUCGCCUGGAUCUACCCGCACCGCCGCUUCCUCUUCUCCCGCUCAGCCAGUCCUCAUCCUCUUCAGCUUCUCCCAGUAACAUUACCGGUCCACCUGUCUGCUCGUUGUCCUCUCCACUAAUUUUCAGCGCUCCCCUCUUUAACGAGUUCACCUGCUCUUAAUUUUUAGCAGGUUUAAAAAAACCUGUUAGGUUUGGAAUGUGUUUUAACAAUUCUUUCUCACUGUUUUCUUUUUGCCGUAAUAUUUUUUGUUUUUGAGCACUGCUCUCAAACUUUUUCCUUUCUGGAAUUUUGACCUAGCUAGCCACAAGCUUCUCACUAGCAUUAUACGGUACCAUGACAACGGCCUAAUGCUAAUGUAUGGUAACGUAGCGUCGGUGGUCAUGUGAAAAUGUGAUAUAUCUGCAGCCAGAAUCAUGAAUAUCGAGUGAUCGACAGAAAAUUUGACAAAUUACAAAACUAUGUGAUUUUUUAUUGGCUCAUGAUAGGCCCCUCGUCUUCAUAGGCCCCUGGGCUUAAGCCCCGGUAAGCCCGUGCAUUAAGGCGGCCCUGGUUUAGGGUGUCGCCCCCCCACCUCAACAGAAUAAAACACCCAAAAUAUUUUCAGUACUGUAUAAAAUGUAUGUGCAAAUUAGUGGCAUCAGGGUGUGGAUUUGGGACAAUGAGGACUAGCUCAGAGUGCACAUGAAAUGUAACUUUGAUUAUGGAGCCUGGAGUAGAUGAGCAGCUCAAUUUGCAUAGACAACCACAGACACCACAAGGGAUUCACAACCUGGAAGUCUUUAGUACAUUUGUAGAUGGUCUAUAGAUAAAUGCUCUAUCUAGCACCUAUAUUCAGAUUGGAAUUUUGGGAUUGUUGUUUUUCCCCCAAAAAAUAUUUUUCUAUUCAUUAUAUGGUCAAAGUUUCUACAUAGAAAUGUUUACUCUAGUGUUUGCUUCAUGCAUAUUUUAUACAGACAUUGUGGUAGAUGUGAAAUCUAAGAGGUUCAGUUAUAGAAGUUACCUGCAAUAGGAGUAAACCAAAAAAGUGGAUUCCUAGUGUCUCCUAGUUAAGUCUUAAAUAUAAAAGUCCAACAUUUAAUGUAAUGAAAAUGGAAUAAAGAUUAACAUUUGAAACAGAACACACUUUGAAUAGAUAAUAUUCAGCAAUGUUAGUAAAUAAUGUAAAAUAUAAUUACUGAACAUACAGUAUUGGGGCUGUAAAGACUAAACUAUAGACAGUGCACCCCUGAUAUGGGGUAUCUUACUGAGCAACACUCACAGAAUACAAGUGUGAGUUUAAACCAAUAUGAUGUAUUAUGUGUGUCGCUGAGACCACUGAAACCCUCUUUUCAUGGUUGCACAACAUCUAGUUUUACAACAUGUUUUCUGCAAUUAUCCACAUUUAUAUACUUACACAAAGAGAACAUAAUUUGUCAUUUGUUUAUUCCAUUUUGCCAUACAGUUGGUUAGAGUGAUUGUAGUGAUUUGUUUUAUAACCUUUGCAGAACAUUCACUACAAUUCUACACAUGACAUACAGGACAUGACACAAAUUGAGGGUAAUUGAGUAACUGUCAGUGAAGGACAUGAUAAAAGACCAAAUGUCACAUUUUAACCAGAUUUUAUUGUAACUCACUCUUAAUGAAUACCCC
This is a long non-coding RNA of Esox lucius (northern pike), 7416 nucleotides long. The record is from Ensembl. Lineage: Eukaryota; Metazoa; Chordata; Actinopteri; Esociformes; Esocidae.